CUGGCAGUACAUUUUACACAUUUAAAAAGUGAUGGUCUUUCAUACCUAAAACCUUAAUUUUAACUUCUAGUAUCAUUUUCCUCUGGUAUUCAGGGCUCUUUAGAGAAAAGAAUGAUUCCAAGACUAAAGCAGUGAAAGAUUCCUAGGAAAAAAAUGCGACUGGAACAUCUAUUAUACCAGAAAAUAAGGAGCUGCUCAAACAAACCAUGGGGACACAUCCAAACCACGGGCUUGGAAUGAUGCACGCAUCCAAAUAAAUAAGGGCAGUAAUAGGUUACCAUCGAAGAAUAAAUACCGAUGAGUCACAUGUUAUAAAUAAAGCACAAACAGAAGAAAAGGUUCCUUGCCACACAACAAAUAAUGAACUCAGAAGAAAUCAUGGCAUUAAAAGAUCAUCAAUGGGUUAGGAAGACAGGCUUCCAAAGAAACUCAGAGCCAUCCAGUCUUAACCCCAUCUCUGCUCUAGUCCCAACCAUGCCCACCGUGAC
This 488-nucleotide long non-coding RNA is filed under the name Fukomys damarensis (Damara mole-rat). RNAcentral's name for it is "lncRNA (ENSFDAG00000029911.1)". Lineage: Eukaryota; Metazoa; Chordata; Mammalia; Rodentia; Bathyergidae. The record is from RNAcentral.